RNAcentral lists this long non-coding RNA (223 nucleotides) under Elaeis guineensis (African oil palm). Its description in RNAcentral is "long non-coding RNA (EGUI_LNC062731)". Lineage: Eukaryota; Viridiplantae; Streptophyta; Magnoliopsida; Arecales; Arecaceae. The record is from RNAcentral.
AUACCUAAUGGGUAUAAGAUGCUCAGGUGGAUCUACUAAAAUCCAAAUUUGGUUGGAAUGCAUGGAGUCAAUUUUUGACUUCAUCGCUUCCAUCCAUUUUUUGGACUCUAUAUCAAAUAUCAUUUCAUCAUAAAUUUUGAGAUCAUUCCUAAUGUUCCUAUCUCCUAUAAGGAAUAUUUUCUCUAAAUCUUCUGUAAGAAUACCUAACUAUCUUUCAGGAGGA